GAAGGGAGCUUGCUCCUGGAUUCAGCGGCGGACGGGUGAGUAAUGCCUAGGAAUCUGCCUGGUAGUGGGGGAUAACGUCCGGAAACGGGCGCUAAUACCGCAUACGUCCUGAGGGAGAAAGUGGGGGAUCUUCGGACCUCACGCUAUCAGAUGAGCCUAGGUCGGAUUAGCUAGUUGGUGGGGUAAAGGCCUACCAAGGCGACGAUCCGUAACUGGUCUGAGAGGAUGAUCAGUCACACUGGAACUGAGACACGGUCCAGACUCCUACGGGAGGCAGCAGUGGGGAAUAUUGGACAAUGGGCGAAAGCCUGAUCCAGCCAUGCCGCGUGUGUGAAGAAGGUCUUCGGAUUGUAAAGCACUUUAAGUUGGGAGGAAGGGCAGUAAGUUAAUACCUUGCUGUUUUGACGUUACCAACAGAAUAAGCACCGGCUAACUUCGUGCCAGCAGCCGCGGUAAUACGAAGGGUGCAAGCGUUAAUCGGAAUUACUGGGCGUAAAGCGCGCGUAGGUGGUUCAGCAAGUUGGAUGUGAAAUCCCCGGGCUCAACCUGGGAACUGCAUCCAAAACUACUGAGCUAGAGUACGGUAGAGGGUGGUGGAAUUUCCUGUGUAGCGGUGAAAUGCGUAGAUAUAGGAAGGAACACCAGUGGCGAAGGCGACCACCUGGACUGAUACUGACACUGAGGUGCGAAAGCGUGGGGAGCAAACAGGA
This 710-nucleotide ribosomal RNA is filed under the name Pseudomonas aeruginosa. RNAcentral describes it as "bacterial SSU rRNA". It matches the Rfam family "Bacterial small subunit ribosomal RNA", at positions 71 to 777 of the family's 1533-position model. Lineage: Bacteria; Pseudomonadati; Pseudomonadota; Gammaproteobacteria; Pseudomonadales; Pseudomonadaceae. The record is from RNAcentral.